RNAcentral lists this ribosomal RNA (1787 nucleotides) under human gut metagenome. RNAcentral describes it as "bacterial LSU rRNA". It matches the Rfam family "Bacterial large subunit ribosomal RNA", at positions 831 to 2619 of the family's 2925-position model. The record is from RNAcentral.
AAUCGAACUCGGAGAUAGCUGGUUCUCCCCGAAAUAGCUUUAGGGCUAGCGUUAUUUUAGAUUACCGGAGGUAAAGCACUGAAUGGUCUAGGGGCCGCGAGGUUACCAAAGCCUAUCAAACUCUGAAUGCCGGAUAAUUGAUGAAUAGCAGUCAGACUGUGUGAGAUAAGUCUCAUAGUCAAAAGGGAAACAGCCCAGAUCUACAGCUAAGGUCCCAAAUGAACACUAAGUGGAAAAUGAUGUGAAACUGCGAAGACAACCAGGAUGUUGGCUUAGAAGCAGCCACUCAUUCAAAGAGUGCGUAAUAGCUCACUGGUCGAGUGACGACGCGCCGAAGAUUAACGGGGCUAAAACCUGAUACCGAAGCUUAGGAAUGAUUUUUAAUCAUUGGUAGAGGAGCAAUGUAUGCGCGCAGAAGCCGUAUCGAAAGGGGCGGUGGAGUGCAUACAAGAGAGAAUGCCGGUAUAAGUAGCGAAAGUGAGGUGAGAAUCCUCACCAUCGAAAGUCUAAGGUUUCCUGGGGAAGGUUCGUCCCCCCAGGGUCAGUCGGGGCCUAAGUCGAGGGCGAAAGCCGUAGAUGAUGGACAGUAGGUUGAUAUUCCUGCACCGCCACUGGACGUUUUUACCGAUGCAAUGACACAGAAGGAUAGUUGAUCCCCGCGGAUGGUAAAGUGGGGUCGGCACACGAGGCCGGAGCGUAGUGAAGUACGCGCUCCGUUAAGGCAGAGUGUGAGGUUAAGCGAAAUUAAGUAGUAGUUUCAAUGAAUCCACGCUGGCGAGAAAAGUUGCUAGGGAGAAAAGUGGCGCCCGUACCGCAAACCGACACAGGUAGACGAUGAGAGAAUCAUAAGAUGAUCGGGAGAACUCUUGUUAAGGAACUCGGCAAAAUGACCCCGUAACUUCGGGAGAAGGGGUGCCACAGCGAUGUGGCCGCAGUGAAUAGUCCCAAGCAACUGUUUAUCAAAAACACAGGUCUCUGCUAAAUCGAAAGAUGAAGUAUAGGGGCUGACGCCUGCCCAGUGCUGGAAGGUUAAAGAGAUUAGUUAGUAUGACGUAAGUCGAUAAUACGAAGCUUUGAACUGAAGCCCCAGUGAACGGCGGCCGUAACUAUAACGGUCCUAAGGUAGCGAAAUUCCUUGUCAGGUAAGUUCUGACCCGCACGAAUGGCGUAAUGAUUUGGGAACUGUCUCAACAAGAGACCCGGCGAAAUUGUAGUAUACGUGAAGAUGCGUAUUAACCUGCGACUGGACGGAAAGACCCCGUAGAGCUUUACUGUAGCUUGGUAUUGAAUUUCGGCAAUGAAUGUACAGGAUAGGUGGGAGACUUGGAAGCCUCGGCGUCAGCUGAGGUGGAGUCACCCUUGGGAUACCACCCUUUUAUUGCUGGGGUUCUAACGGUGUGCCGUUAUCCGGGCACCGGACAUUGCCAGGUGGGCAGUUUGACUGGGGCGGUCGCCUCCCAAAAAGUAACGGAGGCGCCCAAAGGUUCCCUCAGAAUGGUUGGAAAUCAUUCGCAGAGCGUAAAGGUAUAAGGGAGCUUGACUGCAAGACUUACAAGUCGAGCAGAUACGAAAGUAGGGCUUAGUGAUCAGGCGAUUCAGUAUGGAAUGGUCGUCGCUUAACGGAUAAAAGUUACCCCGGGGAUAACAGGCUGAUACCACCCAAUAGUUCACAUAGACGGUGGUGUUUGGCACCUCGAUGUCGGCUCGUCACAUCCUGGAGGUGUAGUCGCUUCCAAGGGUUGGGCUGUUCGCCCAUUAAAGUGGCACGCGAGCUGGGUUCAGAACGU